GACUCUCGGCAACGGAUAUCUUGGCUCUCGCAUCGAUGAAGAACGUAGCGAAAUGCGAUACUUGGUGUGAAUUGCAGGAUCCCGUGAAUCAUCGAGUCUUUGAACGCAAGUUGCGCCCCAGGCCUUCGGGCCGAGGGCACGCCUGCCUGGGCGUCACGCACCGAGUCGCCCCCCCACCUCAAACUCUUUCGGUGUGGGAGCGGACAAUGGCCCCCCGUGCCCUGCGCGCGGCCGGCCCAAAACGAGGCCUCGGGAGGCAGGCGUCACGAUCCGUGGUGGUUGUAAAAGACACGCCCUGGUACCGGAUCACGUGCACGUCGCGCCGCGCCCCGAGCCACAAGUACCCCAAAAGGACCGUCCCCGGACGGCGCCCACUCU
Molecule: unclassified non-coding RNA, 378 nt
Filed under: Dactylicapnos grandifoliolata
Lineage: Eukaryota; Viridiplantae; Streptophyta; Magnoliopsida; Ranunculales; Papaveraceae
Description: sequence contains 5.8S rRNA gene and ITS2
Rfam family: 5.8S ribosomal RNA (bases 1-156)
Source: RNAcentral